Sorex fumeus (smoky shrew) is the source of this 2643-nucleotide RNA transcript. It is a transcript of the gene named Smad nuclear interacting protein 1, with no coding region annotated. Lineage: Eukaryota; Metazoa; Chordata; Mammalia; Eulipotyphla; Soricidae. The transcript has 5 exons. The record is from RefSeq and is a predicted model, not a curated record.
GGAGUGCAACGGCCCUCAUUUUCCUUGGCUCCCCGGAGAUCUCAGCAUGAAGGAGGUGAAGAGCGAGCGGGAGCGGGGCAGCCGGCGGAGACACCGGGACGGGGACGUGGUGGCGGCGGCGGUGGUGGUGAAGCAGGAGCGCCUCAGCCCGGAGGCCGCGCCCCCGGCCCAGCACCGCCCCGACUCCGCGGGCCCGAGCCCGUCCCCGCCGGCCGGAGAACCGGGCCGGGCCGGGCGCCGCGGGAGCCGGGCCCGCGGCGGCAGCCGGUCCCCAGCCAGAAAGAAAAACAAGUCUUCAGGGAGAAGGAGCAAGUCUCCACGGAGUAGGAGAAGCCGAAGUCCUCACCACUCCACAGUAAAAGUAAAACAGGAACGCGAGGAUCACCCCCGGAGAGGACGCGAUGAUCGGCAGCACCGUGAGCCCUCCGGACAAGAACACAGGCGGGCUCGGACCAGUGACCGAGAUCGACACCGCAGCCAUUCCCACCCCAGGAAAACCUCGAACGAGAGGUCUGGGAGUGGGCAGGCGCAGGGACGGGAGCGAGACAGCCAGAGUCUGCAGGCUCAGGAGGCGGAGCGGGAGUUUCACAAUGCCCGCCGGAGGGAGCACCGCCAGAAGAAUGAAGUCGGUGCUGCUGGUAGCGAGUCUCAGGAGUCGGUCCCUCGACCUGGAGGCCACAGCAAGGACAAAGAAGUGCCGGUUAAAGAAAAGCCGAGCUUUGAACUUUCUGGAGCACUUCUUGAGGACACCAACACUUUCCGGGGAGUAGUUAUUAAAUAUAGUGAGCCCCCAGAAGCCCGGAUCCCCAAGAAACGCUGGCGCCUCUACCCCUUUAAGAAUGAUGAGGUACUUCCGGUCAUGUACAUUCACCGACAAAGUGCUUACCUCCUGGGUCGCCACCGCCGAAUCGCGGACAUUCCAAUCGACCAUCCCUCGUGCUCAAAGCAGCACGCCGUCUUUCAGUAUAGACUUGUGGAAUAUACUCGCGCUGAUGGGACAGUUGGCCGCAGGGUGAAGCCCUACAUCAUUGACCUUGGCUCAGGCAAUGGAACAUUCUUGAAUAACAAGCGCAUUGAGCCGCAGAGAUACUACGAACUAAAGGAAAAGGAUGUACUUAAGUUUGGCUUCAGCAGCAGAGAGUAUGUUCUGCUUCACGAGUCGUCAGACACCUCUGAAGUAGACAGGAAAGAAGAUGAAGAUGAAGAAGAGGAGGAAGAAGUGUCUGACAGCUAGCAGACUAAAACAUAACCCGAACUCAGAGACCUCUUCUUUGAAGGCUGUGGGAUUGACUCGAGCACUGUGGUGUGGUGCUCUCUGUAAUGCCUCUUAUUGCCUUAAGCCUUUCCUCUGUUGCUAACCAGCUUAUGUUACAGUAAGAAAAUGGACUUGGGUGAACUUUUUCUGUGGCUCAUCAACCACAUGCUUGCAGGCAUGUUUUCAGGACAGUCUCACCAACACAUUGUGUUUUGUAGAAACAUUGUGGUUUUCGUUGGUGCUUUAAGGAUUGGCUGCCUAGGAAACUUUCAAACCUCUUGGUUGGAGGAGAAUUGUGACUUGUUCUCCUUUGUACAGUUCUUUUAUUUAUAGAGUUGUUAGGCUUUGUGGACCAGGCGGUUUUGUUUAUGUUUUUGUUUGGGGGACAGACCCCUGAAUAGAGAAUUUUACUAAGCUUUGGUUAUCACCAAAACAGCCUCCAGAAUAUACCAAAGCUUUGACCUGGUUGAGCUCUUGAGACAUAGAAUUUGAUUUUGCACUUCAUUUGGGGGGUGGGGAGAGUUUACCAAAUGACCUCAUUAUUCACUGUCAGACUUGCUUUUCAGAGCCUGCUUAAGCAUAUGGGAAGAUCAUGGUGAUACAAACAGGUAAUAUAUUAACGUCACAGAAGGCUGAAAUGGGUCAUGGUUUCCUGUGAGAGAAUUUUGGUUUCUCCAUGGAACAUGUACAUAACAAUUUGAUCAUCUUAUCUGGUCUUUGACUUUGUAUUUUAUUCAGAUGUUGUCUCCCUUUUUUCUUUGAGAAACACUGUCCUUCAUGUGGCAGGGUCCUUGCUUGAUUUUAACAAUGUGUAUAUGUCUAAAGGAGUUGUAUCGUUUACAUGGUUCAUCUUUUUUUUUUAUAAACAAUGUCACAUACAUUGUAUUUACCUUCCCCAGGCUGGAAACUAUGGAAAUUGCCUAGUUUUCUAAUUUUCCACCGGAGGAAUAUGUGACAAAAGUCAAAGAAAAGACACAAGUCAUCUCUAAACCCAAAUAUGAUCAGCAGACAGCUUGAAGUUGACACAAUACUGAAAGCUUUCUUCACGAGUCAAUUCAUUGCUUAGAAACUUGUUUUUGGAACUGGACGGACAGCUCAGUGGGUUGCUGCACAAGCAUCGCAUGCAGGAUGCCUGACAUGGCAUGGUGCCUGAGCACUGCCUGGAGUGUUGCCCAAGCACAGAACAGGGAGUAGACACUGCCCAGGUGUGACCUAAACCCAAAAUAGAAAUUUGUGUUCAUCUUAAUAUUUAUAACUUCUUCAUUUCCCACCUUUUACCACCCUGGUUGACUUGUCUAAAAAUCAAGCCCUUUGCAAAAUAGUCCUUUGCUUCCGAGCCUCUUAAGACCCUGUGGUGCUCUGCAGUUCUGCUAAUGUAGAGGCAAUAU